Molecule: ribosomal RNA, 510 nt
Filed under: uncultured bacterium
Lineage: Bacteria
Description: bacterial SSU rRNA
Rfam family: Bacterial small subunit ribosomal RNA
Source: RNAcentral
GCUGGCGGCAUGCCUAAUACAUGCAAGUCGAACGGUAACAGGUCGCUGUGAUCCCUUCGGGGUGAACUUGAUGCUGACGAGUGGCGGACGGGUGAGUAAUGCUUGGGAAUCUGCCCAGUAGUGGGGGACAACACGGGGAAACUCGUGCUAAUACCGCAUACGUCCCCUUGUUUGGUUACAAGGGGAGAAAGUGGGGGAUCUUCGGACCUCACGCUAUUGGAUGAGCCCAAGUCGGAUUAGCUUGUUGGUAGGGUAACGGCUUACCAAGGCGACGAUCCGUAGCUGGUCUGAGAGGACGAUCAGCCACACUGGGACUGAGACACGGCCCAGACUCCUACGGGAGGCAGCAGUAGGGAAUAUUGGACAAUGGGCGCAAGCCUGAUCCAGCCAUGCCGCGUGUGUGAAGAAGGCCUUCGGGUUGUAAAGCACUUUCAGUGGGGAAGAAAAGCCUGGGGUUAAUACCCCCGAGUCUUGACGGUACCCACAGAAGAAGCACCGGCUAAUUCCGUG